Molecule: ribosomal RNA, 129 nt
Filed under: Pteropus vampyrus (large flying fox)
Lineage: Eukaryota; Metazoa; Chordata; Mammalia; Chiroptera; Pteropodidae
Source: RNAcentral
GUCUACGGCCAUGUCAUCCCAAACAAGCCCAAACAAGCCCGAUCCCUUCCGAUCUGGGAAGCUAAGCAGGGUAGGGCCUGGUUAGUACUUGGAUGGGGGACCAGCUAGGAAGACCAGGCGCUGUAGGCU